AAGCCCUGGAAACGGGGUCUAAUACCGGAUAUUGACCUUCACGGGCAUCUGUGAGGUUCGAAAGCUCCGGCGGUGCAGGAUGAGCCCGCGGCCUAUCAGCUUGUUGGUGAGGUAAUGGCUCACCAAGGCGACGACGGGUAGCCGGCCUGAGAGGGCGACCGGCCACACUGGGACUGAGACACGGCCCAGACUCCUACGGGAGGCAGCAGUGGGGAAUAUUGCACAAUGGGCGAAAGCCUGAUGCAGCGACGCCGCGUGAGGGAUGACGGCCUUCGGGUUGUAAACCUCUUUCAGCAGGGAAGAAGCGAAAGUGACGGUACCUGCAGAAGAAGCGCCGGCUAACUACGUGCCAGCAGCCGCGGUAAUACGUAGGGCGCAAGCGUUGUCCGGAAUUAUUGGGCGUAAAGAGCUCGUAGGCGGCUUGUCACGUCGGUUGUGAAAGCCCGGGGCUUAACCCCGGGUCUGCAGUCGAUACGGGCAGGCUAGAGUUCGGUAGGGGAGAUCGGAAUUCCUGGUGUAGCGGUGAAAUGCGCAGAUAUCAGGAGGAACACCGGUGGCGAAGGCGGAUCUCUGGGCCGAUACUGACGCUGAGGAGCGAAAGCGUGGGGAGCGAACAGGAUUAGAUACCCUGGUAGUCCACGCCGUAAACGGUGGGCACUAGGUGUGGGCAACAUUCCACGUUGUCCGUGCCGCAGCUAACGCAUUAAGUGCCCCGCCUGGGGAGUACGGCCGCAAGGCUAAAACUCAAAGGA
Molecule: ribosomal RNA, 752 nt
Filed under: Actinomycetes bacterium
Lineage: Bacteria; Bacillati; Actinomycetota; Actinomycetes
Description: bacterial SSU rRNA
Rfam family: Bacterial small subunit ribosomal RNA
Source: RNAcentral